This 490-nucleotide ribosomal RNA is filed under the name uncultured bacterium. RNAcentral describes it as "bacterial SSU rRNA". It matches the Rfam family "Bacterial small subunit ribosomal RNA", at positions 9 to 524 of the family's 1533-position model. The record is from RNAcentral.
GAGUUUGAUACCUCGGCUCAACGAAUCAACGCUGGCGGCGUGCCUAACACAUGCAAGUCGAACGAGAAAGUGGAGCAAUCCAUGAGUAAAGUGGCGACCGGGUGAGUAACACGUGACUAACCUACCCUCGAGUGGGGAAUAACGCCGGGAAACCGGCGCUAAUACCGCAUAACAUCGCAAGAUCAAAGCAGCAAUGCGCUUGAGGAGGGGGUCGCGGCCGAUUAGUUAGUUGGUAGGGUAAUGGCCUACCAAGACGAAGAUCGGUAGCCGGCCUGAGAGGGCGCACGGCCACACUGGAACUGAAACACGGUCCAGACUCCUACGGGAGGCAGCAGUGGGGAAUUUUGCGCAAUGGGGGAAACCCUGACGCAGCAACGCCGCGUGGAGGAUGAAGUCCCUUGGGACGUAAAACUCCUUUUCGACCGGGACGAUAAUGACGGUACCGGUGGAAGAAGCCCCGGCUAAACUUCGUGCCAGCCGCCGCGGUAAC